CAGGGGUUGGAACUAGCUAUUAAAAUGGUCAUCACCAGACCAAGGCUCAAUUGAGUCAUGGAAGGAGAAAUCAGAAAUAAACUGCACAACGACGUGGCUGGUGACCCACUUCACCUCUCCUUGCUAAACACUGGAGAAUCAUGCAAAGACUUUGAUGUAACAGAUUGACCUCUAACAGCAACCAUGGGCAUCAGUGAUGAGAAAACCUGUGUUGAGACAGCACUGGCUGGACCCCACAGAGUGUGUGCAUGUUUGCAGUGAGGAUGAACUCUUCCACCUUGAAAGCACAGAUGACAUGGCA
This is a long non-coding RNA of Oreochromis niloticus (Nile tilapia), 301 nucleotides long. RefSeq lists it as uncharacterized. The record is from RefSeq and is a predicted model, not a curated record. The transcript is spliced from 3 exons. Lineage: Eukaryota; Metazoa; Chordata; Actinopteri; Cichliformes; Cichlidae.